AAAAACUCUUAUGCAUUGGUUGUUAA
Molecule: non-coding RNA, 26 nt
Filed under: Mus musculus (house mouse)
Lineage: Eukaryota; Metazoa; Chordata; Mammalia; Rodentia; Muridae
Source: RNAcentral